Molecule: ribosomal RNA, 169 nt
Filed under: uncultured bacterium
Lineage: Bacteria
Description: partial 16S ribosomal RNA
Rfam family: Bacterial small subunit ribosomal RNA
Source: RNAcentral
CCUACGGGAGGCAGCAGUGGGGAAUAUUGGACAAUGGGGGCAACCCUGAUCUAGCCAUGCCGCGUGAGUGAUGAAGGCCUUAGGGUUGUAAAGCUCUCUCAGCUGGGAAGAUAAUGACGGUACCAGCAGAAGAAGCCCCGGCUAACUCCGUGCCAGCAGCCGCGGUAAU